ACGAACGCUGGCGGCGUGCUUAACCCCUGCAAGUCGAACGGUGAAGGGAUCAGCUUGCUGGUUCUGGAUGAGUGGCGAACGGGUGAGUAACACGUGAGUAACCUGCCCCCUUCUUCUGGAUAACCGCAUGAAAGUGUGGCUAAUACGGGAUAUUCUGCGCCUGCUGCAUGGUGGGUGUGGGAAAGAUAUUGUUUCGGUGGGGGAUGGGCUCGCGGCCUAUCAGCUUGUUGGUGGGGUGAUGGCCUACCAAGGCGGUGACGGGUAGCCGGCCUGAGAGGGUGGACGGUAACAGGGGGACGGAGACCGGGCCAAGCCCCAUAGGGGGGGCGGGGGGGGGGAAUAUGGAACAGGGGGCGCAGCCUGAAGGCGGCGACGCCGGGUGAGGGAGGGGGGCUUCGGGGUUGGGACCCUCUUUCGCCAGGAAAGCAGGCCUGUCCUUGGGGGGUGGGUGGAGGGUGGUGGGAAAAGAAGCCCGGCUUAACUCCGU
This 487-nucleotide ribosomal RNA is filed under the name uncultured bacterium. RNAcentral describes it as "partial 16S ribosomal RNA". It matches the Rfam family "Bacterial small subunit ribosomal RNA", at positions 29 to 506 of the family's 1533-position model. The record is from RNAcentral.